UAAAGAGUACAUGACACCAUUAGAGCUGAAACAACUAAUCGAUUUAAUCGAUUAUGAUCGAUUAUUAAAAUAGUUAACUUUUUGAGUCAUCGAUUAGUUGUUUAAUAAUCAUAUUUUACUGCAUAAAGUCUAUUUUUACCACAAUCUGACAUCGGUUACAAUGUUAAAUUUGCCACCAGUGUGUGGCAGUAAUGAGCCACUGAUCUACCAGUGGAGCCGUAGAAGAAGAAACGAGCCAAUAAGUGCCCUCGGUUUUAAUGACGUAUCACAUUACUGACGCUCAUCUUGCUGUGAGAGAUGGCGGAACAAGAAGAAAUACGGAAGAAAAAUAGAAGCGACAAAACAAGAAAAACCCCGGACAAAAACCUCAUGAUUAUGGGAGCACUUCACUCUAGAUGCCUUGAAAAGACGGGUGACCUGCAAAAUAUGCAAAAACCAUGGCAUGACGGAAGCACGACGUCCCUAAGUGAACAAUUGAGAUGAAAACAUGUGGGGGCUGAUGCAGCAGAGGAAAGUCCGAAAAAAACAACCAACGAUGGACAACUACAUGGGGAACAAGACACUCACCCCCCAGCAAUGCAUACCACUUACAAACUCUAUUCUAGAUUCUACAUAAUUUUUUAUGGAAUUUACCUCUUAUAUUUUGAUGCCAAAAAAUUAUUCUGGACUGAUAUUUUGCACUGGUUAGCUCAUUUUACACCGCUGACUGUGUUCAUGUGCAAUAAAAUAGAUUGCAGUCAACUGCACAAUUCUCUUAUGUUUUUCUUUUUCUUAACUGAAAUGUAUUCAUCACUUGUAUAGGUUAAAUAGCUAAACAAUAACAAACCGAUUAAUCUAAAAAAAUAAACAGAUUAAUCGAUUAUGAAAAUAAUCGUUAGUUGCAGCCCUAGACACCAUUAUUUAUCAUGCUUUCAAUUAUGAAAAAGCCUUAAAAAGGUUUAAAACAUUUUUUCCUCCACCUGAACCAAUCCUCAUGUAACCCCUCUUAUCUCUAUUAAGGUAGCGUGACUCAGGGUUGCGAAUGACCACAGUCACCAAUUCUUAUCAUGUGUCUGGCCCAUGUAUGUCUAAUCUCUGAAGUGUGUGUACUGAAACUCUAAUUUCUCUCUGGGAUUAAUAAAGUAUCUUUGAUUUGA
Molecule: non-coding RNA, 1136 nt
Organism: Nothobranchius furzeri (turquoise killifish)
Lineage: Eukaryota; Metazoa; Chordata; Actinopteri; Cyprinodontiformes; Nothobranchiidae
Source: RefSeq, a predicted model, not a curated record